GCCAUUUGAGGGCUGCGGAUGUGUUUUGUACAGUUAUACCGGACACUGUGAUGGUUUGGGUAGGUCUAUGUGUGUUCGCGGAUGGAUGUUCGUUAUAAUGUCCAAACCAAGAUGGAGUACGAGUGGAAACCCGAUGAGCAAGGACUCCAGCAAAUUCUGCAGCUACUGAAGGAAUCGCAGUCUCCAGACACGGCCAUACAGAGAUCCGUUCAGCAAAAACUGGAGCAACUUAAUCAAUAUCCUGACUUCAAUAACUAUCUGAUUUUCGUUCUGACAAAGUUAAAAUCAGAAGAUGAACCUACGCGAUCCUUAAGUGGUCUGAUUUUGAAGAACAAUGUGAAAGCACAUUUACACAAUUUCCCUAAUGGGGUAACAGAUUUCAUUAAAAAUGAGUGCCUGAAAAAUAUUGGUGAUUCCUCACCUUUAAUAAGAGCUACUGUUGGAAUUCUGAUUACAACUAUAGCAUCAAAGGGUGAACUACAAAACUGGCCAGACCUCUUGCCUAAGUUGUGUGCACUGUUGGAUUCAGAAGAUUACAACACAUGUGAAGGUGCCUUUGGUGCUCUUCAGAAGAUAUGUGAAGACUCUGCUGAGAUUUUAGACAGUGACAUUUUGGACAGACCUCUGAAUGUCAUGAUUCCAAAAUUUCUGCAAUUUUUUAAACACAGCAGUUCCAAGAUUAGGUCUCAUGCUGUUGCUUGUGUGAACCAGUUCAUCAUUAGUAGAACUCAAGCACUGAUGUUGCAUAUUGACUCUUUCAUCGAGAACUUGUUUGCAUUGGCUGGAGAUGAAGAAUCUGAAGUACGGAAAAAUGUAUGCCGUGCACUUGUUAUGCUGCUCGAAGUUAGAAUGGAUCGCUUGCUCCCUCAGAUGCACAACAUUGUUGAGUACAUGUUGCAGAGGACACAGGAUCAAGAUGAAAAUGUAGCACUGGAAGCUUGUGAGUUCUGGCUUACAUUGGCUGAACAACCCAUUUGCAAGGAUGUACUUUCUGGACAUAUGUCUCUAUUAAUACCUGUCCUUGUGAAUGGGAUGAAAUAUUCAGAAAUUGAUAUUAUUCUGCUUAAGGGUGAUGUUGAAGAAGAUGAAGCUGUUCCUGAUAAUGAACAAGACAUCAAACCUCGCUUUCACCGAUCCCGAACGGUCGCUCAACAGCAUGAAGAAGAUGGAAUCGGUGAAGAAGAGGAGGACGAGGACGAUCUCGAUGAUGAUGACACAAUUUCUGAUUGGAAUUUAAGAAAAUGUUCUGCUGCUGCAUUAGAUGUGCUAGCUAAUGUUUUCCGGGAUGAAUUGUUGCCACACGUGCUGCCACUCCUGAAAGAGCUGCUGUUUCACCCAGAUUGGGUAGUGAAGGAAUCUGGAAUUCUGGUACUUGGAGCUAUUGCUGAAGGCUGUAUGCAGGGUAUGAUUCCUUUCCUGCCUGAGCUUAUCCCUCACCUUAUUCAGUGCCUGUCUGAUAAAAAAGCUCUUGUGCGUUCUAUAACCUGUUGGACACUCAGCCGCUAUGCACAUUGGGUAGUAAGUCAGCCCCCAGAUACUUACUUGAAGCCAUUAAUGACUGAGCUGUUGAAGCGUAUCUUGGACAGCAAUAAACGAGUACAAGAGGCUGCCUGCAGUGCUUUUGCUACCCUAGAGGAAGAAGCUUGCACGGAGUUGGUGCCAUACCUUGGUUACAUACUUGAUACCCUUGUUUUUGCUUUUAACAAAUAUCAACAUAAGAAUCUUCUAAUUCUUUAUGAUGCUAUUGGAACCCUUGCUGACUCAGUAGGGCAUCAUUUAAAUAAGCAGGAAUAUAUACAAAUGUUGAUGCCUCCGCUCAUUCAGAAAUGGAACAUGUUGAAAGAUGAAGACAAAGAUCUUUUUCCCUUACUUGAGUGCCUGUCUUCUGUUGCCACUGCCUUGCAGUCUGGCUUUCUUCCAUACUGUGAACCUGUAUACCAGCGUUGUGUAAAUCUAGUCCAAAAGACGCUUUCCCAAGCUAUGUUGCAUGGUUCCCAGCCUGAUCAGUGUGAGGCCCCAGAUAAAGAUUUUAUGAUUGUGGCACUUGAUUUACUGAGUGGUCUGGCCGAAGGCCUUGGAGGAAGCAUUGAGCAACUUGUAGCACGGAGCAAUAUUUUGUCGUUAAUGUACCAGUGCAUGCAGGACAAGAUGCCCGAAGUACGGCAGAGUUCGUUUGCCUUAUUGGGUGAUUUAACAAAAGCCUGUUUUCAGCAUGUGAAGCCUUGCAUUGCUGAUUUCAUGCCAGUUCUUGGAACUAAUCUGAACCCAGAAUUUAUUUCGGUGUGUAAUAAUGCUACAUGGGCAAUUGGAGAGAUCUCAAUUCAGAUGGGGAUUGAAAUGCAGCCCUAUGUGCCAAUGGUCUUGCACCAGCUGGUGGAUAUCAUUAAUAGACCUAACACACCAAAAACGUUACUGGAAAAUACAGGUGCACUUCCCUGCGAAACAUAAGGGAUAAUGAAGAAAAAGAUUCUGCUUUCCGUGGCAUUUGCAGUAUGAUUGGUGUCAAUCCAGGAGGAGUUGUACAGGUGAUAAGCUGAGACCAGUUAAUGUGAUAACUUCUUGGUAGUAAUGAUUAUGAUGAGACUUAAAAAUGGGAGCCAAGAUGCUGCCAUUAUAUUUGAUUUGCUGAACUAUGCCACUUUUUUUUCACGAAUGGAAGUGGAAUGCUUCCUAAAAUCUUUAGCAUAAUUGAUAGUAUUAUAGACUUUUCAAUAUAUUUUACCAGCAGUUUCUUGAAUGUUAGUUGAGAGUCAAAUAACAUGAACUUGAAGCAAUAUUUCUGUUUGGUUCCUGUGUGAAGGUCUGUUCUAUAUCAAUGAAGAGCUAUUUUGGUUUUGUACAGAAAGUACUUGAUUAACAACCUGGUAUGCGCAAGAACCUUCACUCUGCAUCAAAUGUGGGCUUCUUAUUGACUCAAUAAUCAACAAGUUUAUUCUUUUCAUUUUGAGAUUUUUCAAUGAAAAUGUUAAUGGAGCAGGCAGAGUAUAUUGUCUCAAAUUCAAAUAUUUUAGAUUUUUAGGUAGUAACUGCUUAGAAUUACGACUGUUAGUUUUUCACUGAAUUACUUUUGGCUGCUUUUAUUCAUGCAUGUGUUGCUAGCUAGGCAAGCAUUUAUUGCCCUUCUCUAAUUGCCCAGAGGACAGUUAAGAGUUAGCCAUAUUGCUGUGGGUUUGGAGUCACAUGUAGGCAAAACCAAAUAAGGAUGGUAGUAUCCUUCCCUAAAGGACAUUAGUGAACCAGCUGGAUUAUUUCUUAUGAUUGACAAUGUUUCAUGGUCAUCCUUUGACUUUCAGUUUCAGAAUUUAUUGAGUUCAAAAUUCCACCAUCUGUCAUGGUGAAAUUCAAACCUAGAACAUUACCUGGGUCUCUGAAUUAAUAGUCCAGUGUUAAUGCCUCUAGGCCAUCGGCCCUACUAAUGCAGGUAUUUGUUAAUCCAACCAAUCCAAGAUGGGUGAAUAGCCAAAAUGACACCUUAAGCAGGAAUGAGUGCAUGAUCUGUUCAAAUUAAGUGCUUUCCUGCAGUAGUGUUGGAGCAAUGGUUGGAACCUCUGACGAACCAGGCAAGAAGAUAAUAUUUUCAAGAUGGAACUUCACUGGUUGCACAAAGCAGAAAUGUGUGACACUUCAGGACUGCUCCUAACAGAGACAUAAGCUAAACCAUCAUUGUGAAGAAAGUUAAUAAACAGAAGUUUACAGAAAAAGAAAAAAAAUCCAUGACAAGGAAUGGUAAAAGAAGCACCUUCAAUAUAAAAGAAAACUCAACUAUAUCGCACACCAGAAUAUCUAGAUAUCUUGUAGUCUGAAGUUAUAGUGCAACUGGAUUCUAGCUGAAAGAUGAGCAUCAUAUUAUUCCUUUCGAUCCAUUGCUGAGUCUGGUAAGUGAUCUAAAUUAUGCUGCCUUCUGCUUUUAUGAUUACAGCAUAUCAUACAAUAGCAUUCUUUUAAAUGUACAUGACUAAUAUUUAGCAAGAUCUUUCAGUUGCUAAAAUGUUAUAGAUCAUUUGUCUUUACAGUAAAUAUGAAAACUACCUUAUUGCUUAAAUGGAUAUAGCUAAUGCAAUUUUGUUUCCCCAGGUAACACCAUCGGCAUUUUCACAAAAGGUGCAUUUGAAGUUGACAUAUUUUGACCACUUCUGACCUCCAGAACCAGAGUUGAGGCUGUAGCUGUGACCGCUGUGGAAGAUGAGAAUGAGAAGCGAGAUUUUGUAUUACAGAAUUGCAAUCUGCAAAACCUUGACCCAUUAACGUCAGAGGGAGAGAUACUGUUCACAGAUGGUGAUUCUGCUGUGUCUCCAAUCCUAACCUAAGAAAAGAUCAAAUAAACCAUUUAUUUAUUUCACAAGUAGUGUAAAAUAUUGACACUACAAUCUAGGUUCAUCACAAUGUAUGCCUGUUAUGCCUAAUGUCAUAUUGAAAUAUUGGACCUACCUGAUUUUUCAAAUAUCUGGAAUCGGGAUUUAGGACAGGCAUUUGACUUCUUUCAUGUGCUCAAUAAAGGCCAAAUGCUUGUCUUGUCGUUCCACAUUAGGGGAAACCCACGGAGUGGUACCACCCAGAUCCCCAUGUUACUUCUGGUGUCUGACUUCUGACUGCUUGCAAUCAAGGAGAGAUGAUUGUCCCAAAAUUCAGUGGUUUCAGUAGGCAAGAGGCAAGGUUCCAGUGAAGGCUUGACAGUUGUCCACUCCUUGAUUAUUUAAGUAAGCCCUGACACUUGAUGGUAUAAUGGCUUCAAACCAGAAAUAGGCCCAGGUGAAUUUCCAUUCAUUAAGGUUCCUUGCUAGUAAUGAGGAAUUUUGUUCACGAAAUAACAUUGUUCUAGGCAUCGUCAGAACAACAUGCACAUACAAUAUUAUGAAUGUAUAUUUUUGAAUAAUGUGUCAGAAAGCUUCUACUUCGAGUCAUAGGUUUCAAGGAUAAGAGAGAGCAUAUAUUACCAUAAGCAGUGAGGAAUUAUUUGUAAGCUGCCUCAAACUGCUCAUGUCCUCAUGGUAACAGUGCUUCCAUAUUACUGAUCAGUGUAGUCAAGAGGUAGUUCAAGGAUUUUUGGUACGUGAAUAGAGGAACAGUGAUGGGAGGUAGCGGUGUUCCCAUGCAGCUGCUGUUCUUGUCUCUCUGGGCUUAGGAAGUUGCUGGUGAGGAAAUCUUCUGGCGAAGAUUAUUUGGUAACCUGCUGCAGACAACUCUUUAGCUAGUGUGUCUGUUGAGGAGCUGCUGCGUGUUUCGAUUGGAUAAUGUAUUGGCCAAGUGGGCUGGUUUAUUCUAGAUGUGUUUAUUGAAUAAUGUUGCAGUUGCAGUGAUCUUGACCUGAGUAUCAUAAUUAUACUUGUGAACAUCAGUACUUUUUUUUUGGAUGAUACUGCAACGACAUAUCCAGGUUACUCAGAGAGGCAAAGGAGGAAAUACCUGGGGCAUUGGCAGAUAUCUUCACAUCCUUGUUGACCACAAGUGAAGUUCCAGAGGACUGGAGAUUUGCAAAUGUUGUUCCCUUGUUUAAGAAAGGAUGCAGGAUAAUCCAGGAAACUAUGGGCCCGUGAGCUUGAUGCCUAUGGUGGGGAAACCCCUUGGAGAAGAUCCUGAGGGACAAGAUAUGUGCGCAUUUGGAAGAAAAUUGACUUGUUAGUCACAGGCACCAUGGUUUUGUCUGGGGAAGGUCAUGUCUCAACAAACUGAAUUUUUGAAGAGGUAACGAGGGCAAAAAAUGAGGGAAGGUCUGUGGAUGUAGUUUAUGUGGACUUUAAUAAGGCAUUUCACAAAGUCCCACGUGGCAGGUUGGUACAAAAACUAAAAUCACAAGGGAUUUGGGCUAGAUGGCCUGGCUGGAUGGAUAGAAAACUGGUUUGGUCAUAGACAACAGAGGGUAGUGGUGGAAGGAUGUUUUUCAGAAUGGAGACCAGUAACUAGUGGUAUUCCAUAGGCGUCAGUCUUAGGCCCUUUGUUGUUUGUAGUAUAUAUAAAUGAUUUGAAGGAAAAUGUGGGUGGUCUGAUAAGCAAGUUUGCUGAUGACAUGAGGAUUCGUGAAAUUGCUGAUCGUGCCAAUGAUUGUGAAAGUAUACAGCAUAAUACAGUUAGAGUGGCGACUUGGGCACAGAAAUGGCAGAUGCUGUUCAAUCCAGGCAAAUGCGAGGUGAUGCAUUUUGGACAACCAUAUUUAGGUGUGAAUUCUAUUGUAAGUGGCAGAACCAUUCGGAACGCUAGCAUUCAGAUGGAUCUGGGCAUGCAGGUCCACAGUUCCUCAAAGUGGAAACACAGGUAGCCAAGAAGGUAUAUGGCAUGCUUGCCUUCACUACCGAGGGCGAGGAGUACAAGAGUUCAUAACACCCUUGUUAGGCUUCAUUUCGAAUAUGGUGUGCAGUUUUGGUCACUACAGUACCAGAAGGAUGUGGAUGCUGUGGACAGAGUACAGAGAAGAUUCAUCAGGAUGUUGCCUGGUCUCCAGGGCAUUGACUAUGAGGAAAGUUUUAAAAAGAGUAGGAUUGCUUUCACUGGAAAGACGGCAGCUGAGAGGAGACCUGAUAGAGGUCUGCAAAAUUGAGAGGCACAGAUAGGGUGGAUGGUCAUUGGCUUUUUUCCAGGUUGAAGUUUCAAUUACAAGGCAACACAGGUUUGAGGUCAGAGGGGGAUAGUUUAAAGGAGAUAUGUGAGUGAUGUUUUCAGAGUGGUAGCAGCCGAGAAUGCAUUACCAAAAGAGAUGGUGGAAGCAGGCACAUUGAAGACAUUUAAAGGGCACCUGGAUGGGCACAUGAAUAGGGAGGGAAUAAAGUGAUACGGUUUGAAAAAUUACUUUUUCUUUUUAAAUUAAUUAGGGCAGGAUGGUCAGCACAGGCUUGGAGGGCUUGUGCUGUACUUUUUCACUUGCUCAUUUGUUUGUUCAGUUGAGAGAGGGAUAAGGAUAAUUACUCAUUUUUUGAAUACAUAUGUUCCUUGAAUUGACAAUCAGGAGUUUCUGCCUUGGUCUUCAUGUAACUGAAUAGGCUGAUUCUGAACCCACAGACCUUUGGACACAUUGUGAAGUAUUGGGAUCUGGAACACUGGUUCUGCUUUUCUUUCUACUCUGCUUCAUCAUUAAGAUAUUGUGAUUCAAAGCAUAAUACAACUUGAUGGACAAGUUGUCACAAUUUUGAACAAUUGAAGCACAUUUCUCUUAGUCACUAAUGUCACUGCUACCACACUUCAAGAUGACCUUACAGAAUGCCUUUUAAGCAUUUUUUUCUUUUCUGCCCUGGAAUGUGAUCUGUUUGAAAGUUACAAGAGCAACACCUGUUGGGCAUGCACCUUUUUAGCCAGCUGUUUAUCAAGUCCUAUCCAUUGAAUUUGAUUUCCCAGAAAUUGGCCUGAAUGCUUGUGGAACUAGCAUGAAGAAGGAUGCAAAUGUUUAUUUGAUGGUCCUCCCAUUGAAUUCAGAGGGUAGGAUUAUUGUUGGUGAAACUUCUGUAGCACUCUUGGAUUGUGUAUCAGCAACACAAGUGUCACUGUGGUACAGAAAUGUGGUGAUGGCUGCUUUUCAUAUUAGGAGAUUUAUUAUCGAAUAUUUGUGGCUAUAGUUUGUACAAGGCUGGGUUAGCACAGCUCAUUGUGUUUGGGAUCUCAUCAUUCAUGAUGGCCUUUUUGAGAGGUGAAUGGAAAGUACUUAAAGGUUGUCACCUUUGACAUUUGCAGGAUGUGAAUCUUUGAAGAGGUGAGGGUUGUUAUGAGUUUAAUAAUGGCAGAACUUAAGUUCAGACUGAAUCUCUUCUAUGCAGAAUUGAAGAGAUUGAGAGUGGCUUGCAAAUUUAGUACAGUGAAGAAUAGUACUGCUGCCAUGCAAAACUAUUGAUCAGCUUUGUCAAUUUUGGCCAAGGUCAGAUUCUUGGGAAUACAGAAAUUGCAGAGCAAGAGUGCAAGCAAAACCAUUCUAGGUAUUCAUUUGGCUGCAGUGAGGUAUAGAUUGUAACCAGGUGAUGGCAGUCCCACCAAGGUGGCUAAGAGUGGAAAGGCAUUGGAGUAGAAUGGUGCAGUGAAUUGUACGAAAGGUGGCAGAUAGAUUGAGAAGAAUCUUGCCAAACUUCUAAUAUGUCUAGAUAGAUCUAGACUAAUCAUUUUAUCUGGUCUGGUCCAACAAUUGUGUGACUUCCUAUCUUAAAUGUUUUGAUCAUCCCCGGGUCAAGAACUCUGUGUUAGUCUCCUUGAUAAACAGAGAAGUUCUGCCAGUUGGAUCAUUGCCAGAUGUUCAUUAUAUAUUUCUGCAUAACCCUGUCAUCAUUGUGCAUCUAUAAAAUACAAUUCAUUUGUCUUCCUUGAUUUUGUACUUGUUGCCUUGUUUCGUUUUCUGAAUCAUUUUGUAUUAAUUUCUCCAUUAUUAGCUAUGGUAAUACCAUCUCAAUGUUGACACUUUUUUCUAAUGUAUCCAUGGUGUGGCAUUUCUGUUUAGUUCUUGCAUUUUAUGGGGAUACAUUUCAUAACUAUUGAUCAGUCUUUAAAUGUUUUCCCCAUUUAUGAUUUCAUUUUUGUCCGUCAGUUUUCUAGUGUAUAUUCUGCAUUCCUUUUCACUUGUCCUUAAAAUCUGUCUUUUUUCAAUUUAUUAUUUGGGUCUCAUGUCAAACAAAGGCCAUCAGUCUUUAUUGAAACAUUAUUGUGUUGAAACAGCUGCUGUCUGGCCGUUCCCUUGCAAGUCUCUUUUAUAUGGCUACUUUAGUAAAAUUGAAAAUUAUAUGAGAUUAGAAUAAAGCAGUACUGUUUUUAUUUCAAAAUAGAAACAGAAGUUGCUGGAAAAGCUCAGCAGGUCUGGCAGCAUCUGUCACUGGACCCGAAACAUAACUCUGAUUUUUCUUCACAGAUGCUGCCAAACUUACUGAGCUUUUCCAGUCACCACUGUUUUUGUUCGAUUUUACAGCAUCCACAGUUUUUUCAGCUUUUGUAUUUUUAUUUCACGUGUUUGAUGUUCAUUAUUGAUUUGUUUUCAUCUGGGGAAAAUACACAGGAGAGCAAAAACAGAAAAGAGGCUUCACAUGGUCUGGCUCAUGUACAUUGCCACUUUAGUUUCUUAACCUUAUUCCUAAAUUUAAGUGGUGACUUGUUCUGUGGAUCUCCAGAUCCAUUUAAGUUCCUGAUUUUAUGUUUCUAAUAUAAUGAUUAUCAAACUAUAUCCUAUUUCAAAUGUUCUUUUACUUGUUACUACAAGACCAUUGUUGUUUAACCCAGUUACAAACUCUAUAAUGGGUAACUUUAAGACAGAUCUGAUUUCCAGAUGGUGGAUUGACUUUUAUUAGCAAACCUUUAGGGAGCUUAUGCACAUCUGCCUGCUUUUUUUCUUAAAAAAGAAACCUGUUUAUAUCAGAGAUUUUCUUUUUACAGGACUUCAUUUUUUUCUGUGAUGCAGUAGCAUCUUGGAUUAGUCCAAAGGAUGACCUACGAGAUAUGUUCUACAAGAUCCUUCAUGGUUUUAAAAAUCAGAUUGGGGAUGAGAAUUGGACCCGUUUUUC
Molecule: RNA transcript, 9458 nt
Organism: Stegostoma tigrinum
Lineage: Eukaryota; Metazoa; Chordata; Chondrichthyes; Orectolobiformes; Stegostomatidae
Gene: tnpo1
Gene name: transportin 1
Exons: 22
Source: RefSeq, a predicted model, not a curated record